GAGGGUCUAGCUCAAUAGUAGAGUACAUGCUUAGCAUGCACCUGGUCCUGGGUUCAUUCCCCAGUACCUCCA
This 72-nucleotide transfer RNA is filed under the name Camelus bactrianus (Bactrian camel). It matches the Rfam family "tRNA". Rfam says of the family: Transfer RNA (tRNA) molecules are approximately 80 nucleotides in length. Their secondary structure includes four short double-helical elements and three loops (D, anti-codon, and T loops). RNAcentral also lists the same sequence under 2 other names. Lineage: Eukaryota; Metazoa; Chordata; Mammalia; Artiodactyla; Camelidae. The record is from Rfam by way of RNAcentral.